UACUUGCGCUGGGCUUCUGGCUUGCCUGCUGGGCCUGCUGUUGGGUCAGGCCUACUUCUUUCUUUCUUUUUUUCUGCUAGGCUACCUGCGUUGUGCCUGCGCUGCUGGGCUACACAAAGUGGGCCUGUUGUAGGCCUGCUAGUUGUUUUUUCUUUCUUUUUUUUCUCCUUCUCUGCUGCUUGGGCCUGGGUGUGCUAGGCCUACUAGGUCAGGCCUACUACCUAGCCUGUUGAUUGGCUACUAGCUGGCCGAGUUGCGGGUCACACGGGUCGGGUCGGGUCGACCCGACUGCUUUAAAAUUUUUUAUUUUUAUUUUCCCUUUUAUUUUUCUUAUUUUUAUUUUUAUUUUUAUUUUAUUUUUUAUUUUUUCUUUCCUUUCUUCUUCUUCUUCUUCUUCUUCUUCUUCUUCUUCUUCUUCUUCUUCUUUCUCUUCUUUUUCUUCUUCUUUUUCCUUCUUCUUCCUCAAAACCCUAGCUUGCAUCGCUACCUCCUUCAGGCCGCCGCUGCUAUGUCGCUACUUCCUCCACUCGUGGUGCGACGGUGUCGAUGCUCCCCCUCUUCUUCCUUCUCUUUUCUCCUUUCCUUCCUCUUUUCUCUCUUUUUUUUGAAGCUUUUCUCUCUUUUCUUUUUUUUGAUUUCGGGGGGAGGGGUUUUUGAUUUUGGGGGAAAAAUACCCCUUUUGUAGUUGAUUUUUGCUUCUUUUUGCAGGUGGUAGGUGGCUAAGGAGGCCAUGAUGAGCCUAGGCCGGUCGCCGCCGUGUAGGUGUGUAACUUGCAUUGGCAGCUGCCAGAAAGACCAGAUUGCAAAUGCAGUAAAACUUUUGGGGCCAAAGUAUAAUUUCCAAAAAGUUUAGGGGUUAAAAUGUAAUCUCUUAAAAGUUUAAAGGUUAAAAUGUAAUUUUAGAAAGUUAAGGGGUCAAAAUGUAAUUUUAAAAAAUGAAAUUUGACCCGGACAAAAUUCAGUGAUUACAGCUGCCCUUUUUUGCUCAUUGUUGUGAAACAGG
RNAcentral lists this long non-coding RNA (1003 nucleotides) under Gossypium raimondii (Peruvian cotton). Its description in RNAcentral is "long non-coding RNA (GRAI_LNC000713)". Lineage: Eukaryota; Viridiplantae; Streptophyta; Magnoliopsida; Malvales; Malvaceae. The record is from RNAcentral.